RNAcentral lists this ribosomal RNA (371 nucleotides) under uncultured organism. Its description in RNAcentral is "partial 16S ribosomal RNA". It matches the Rfam family "Bacterial small subunit ribosomal RNA", at positions 527 to 896 of the family's 1533-position model. The record is from RNAcentral.
GUACUGUGCAAACGUUAUUCGGAAUCACUGGGCUUAAAGGGUGCGUAGGCGGUGAUUUAAGUAGGGUGUGAAAUCCCUCGGCUCAACCGAGGAACUGCGCUCUAAACUGAAUCACUUGAGUAAGAUAGGGGUGUGCGGAACUUCCGGUGGAGCGGUGAAAUGUGUUGAUAUCGGAAGGAACGCCAGUAGCGAAAGCGGCACACUGGGUCUUAACUGACGCUGAGGCACGAAAGCCAGGGUAGCGAACGGGGAUUAGAUACCCCGGUAGUCCUGGCUGUAAACGAUGAGCACUAGUCGGAAGGCGCUUACGCAUUUUCCAACGUAGCAAACGUAUUAAGUGCUCCGCCUGGGGGAGUAUGGUCGCAAGGCUG